Nyctereutes procyonoides (raccoon dog) is the source of this 2460-nucleotide RNA transcript. It is a transcript of the gene named adipogenin, with no coding region annotated. The record is from RefSeq and is a predicted model, not a curated record. The transcript has 3 exons. Lineage: Eukaryota; Metazoa; Chordata; Mammalia; Carnivora; Canidae.
UGGUGAACGACCUCACGUUUUCUUUCCUGGUAUUCUGGCUCUGCCUGCCAGUGGGUCUGCUGUUGGUCUUGUUGAUCAUCUGGCUACGCUUCUUACUUAGCCAAGAAUAACCCUGCGAAGUAAUCCUUAUUGUACGAUUGAGGAAACCGAGGCUCGGGGAGAGAAGCCAUGUGCCCACGUCACACACCUGUGAAGUACUUAAGAGUGCCGCUUACCUGGUGUCAGUCACAUCCUGGCUCUGCCUCCUACCAGCUCUGUGACUUUGGGCAAGUCCUCUCUGAGCCUUGGGUUUCUCAUCUACAGGAUGGAGAUAAUACUGGUUCCUACCCCUUGGGGGCUGUGGAGAGAUACAUGUGAAAGGCAGGGCACCCAGCAUGUGUACACACAUGGCACCUACUAGAUGCUUAUAGGCUGACGAAUAAUCCAGUCCGUGUUGGUUUUGUCAAGGUAAGAGGAAGGGUAGGCAUGGCUUCAGAUGGCUUCUCUGGAAGCGAGGAGACGCCUCACCUAAGGUCUAAGGCACUCCUCUCCAGCAAUUCAUUCUCCUUGAAGGCCUCGCUCUAAAGCCAUCCACAGCCUGCCCCGCCCUGCCCUUUUCUCAGACUUUCUCCCACAUUCCAUGUGGCCCUGUGCAAUAAGGCAUUGGUUAUUUGCCAGGACCAGAAACUGUCCUUAAAGUGAGAUGAGCAGUCCUCCCUCAGUAGCCUAGCCCAGUCUUCUUGGAGCUCUUAGUAUUAUCUCACCGGUACUGUCCUGGUGCCGGGGUUGGGGCCUGCCAGGGUUCGGGGGAGCUGGUUCUCAGGACACCCUGACCUGUGGUUUUCUAGUCUGCUGUGGACCUUAUUGGAAUCAAUUUGGCCAGGAAUCCAGUGUGAAAAGCAGAUAGGACUAGCCCUGAUCCUCCCUACCUACCCUGCCUGGCCUGGCUCAGCAGGGCAGUUCCAGGGCCCAGGAGGCAGCUGGUUUGAGCAGGGAAGACCAUGUGGCCCAGGAGGAUGUGCUUUCUUAGGUAGACACGGGAGCAAGGGGAGGAGAAGGGAGCUGCCUGGCAAGCUUGGCACUCAGGCAAGAGGUCGUGGGCAGCUGAGCCCUGGGGGCAACACUAAUCCUGGACAACACUAACCCAUGACAUGAGGAGAGAGGAUGCAGCCACAAGUGCCCUUCAAAGAGAAGAUACUCUGCUGAGGACAUAUCUUUUGUGAUUGGAAAGGAAUUUGCAGAGAGAAGAAGAGAAACCUCCGGAGAUGGAUUUAGGGCUGAUACAUGCCUUUUGAGGGUCCUGCCCACCUUGUGAUGGUCCUUGGAGUGAAGUGUUAUAAAUUCAAAGCUACCUUUGAAUCCCCUGACUUGAAACAAGUGUACCCAGUGGAAUUGCAGGGAACUGGCACUGGGGGUGCUGAUCGGAGUCCAGCACCACCACUUCCUGCCUGUGAGCCUGGACAUUCUACCUUUCUGAGCCUUCCUCAUCCGUAAACACAAGUAACAUUAGUCAUUGCCUUCAAGAAAUUGUCAACAGGAUCAAAUGAGAACAUGCACAUAAAACACUUAGCACAGAGCAUAUGUGCAAACAACAGUCACGAUCUGUAGUGAUGAGUGGUCCCUUCAAUCACACUGCUUUGUAAAGCAUCAUCACUGCCAACUUUGAUGAAUGCCUGUUGUACGUGUUCUACUUCAGUCAAACCCUCAUUGUAGAAGAGGCUGAAAUAUGCCCAUUUUACAGCUGAGGAAAUGGAGCCCACCUUUUCUGUCUCCUGCUCUUGGUGUGCCAGCCGAGGGCUCUCUUCAGCCUCCAUUACUUCUCUGCCACCAGUGAGACACCUGAAGAAUAUAGUAAGAAGGAGAGUCCCCCCUCAGCCUCUCCUCCUCCUUCACCUUGCCUUCCCCAGAUAAAUCACAUUAGCAGGCUCAUGUAUCUACCUAAUAACACAUGCAGGUUUUCCAGAAAAGUAGGGGGGCGGGUAGUUUUUACUUGUUUUGCAAAAAAAAGGAGAAUUUCUCUGAAACUUGCUUGUGCUGUAUCAUAAACAUCCUGCAAGUUGAAAGCUACAGGUCUCAUGUGGUUGUUUUAACAGCUUCUGACAUGCCACUGGAUGGAUGGGCCAGCUCUUUAUGCAGUGGGCAUGUGCCACACUUCCAUCGCCCAGGCCGCUCAUGUUGGACACACACACACACACACACACACACACACACGUUUUCCAGGUGUUUUAUUGCUUGUGUGUGUUUCCCCACAAAACAGUGCUGCAGUGGAAAUCAUUGCACACAUACACUCAGAUAUUUGUUAAUAAAUGGACUGGUGGGUGAACGGAUGGACGGGCCAAUGGUUGGAUUUGUGUCUCCUCAGUGCCUGCUCUUGGACUACACUCAAUACAGAUUCAGAGGAAAAUGACUCAGAUUUAUGCUUUGACUGGGAGCCCUGGAGCAAAGGCCCAGCCCAGUUUUGCUGGGAGGGGACAUUCCAUA